Small nuclear RNA from Ochotona princeps (American pika), 104 nucleotides. NCBI's taxonomy places the organism in Eukaryota, Metazoa, Chordata, Mammalia, Lagomorpha, Ochotonidae. The record is from RefSeq and is a predicted model, not a curated record.
GUGCUGACUUCGGCAGCACUUAUACUAAAAUUGGAACGAUACAGAGAUUAGCAUGGCCCCUGCACAAGGAUGAUAUGCAAAUUCGUGAAGCGUUUCAUAUAUUU